Molecule: ribosomal RNA, 965 nt
Filed under: Leucobacter aridicollis
Lineage: Bacteria; Bacillati; Actinomycetota; Actinomycetes; Micrococcales; Microbacteriaceae
Description: bacterial SSU rRNA
Rfam family: Bacterial small subunit ribosomal RNA
Source: RNAcentral
GGUCGAACGAUGAAGCCCAGCUUGCUGGGUGGAAGAGUGGCGAACGGGUGAGUAACACGUGAGUAACCUGCCCUGAACUCUGGGAUAAGCACUGGAAACGGUGUCUAAUACUGGAUACGACCUAUCACCGCAUGGUGUGUGGGUGGAAAGAUUUAUCGGUUUUGGAUGGACUCGCGGCCUAUCAGCUAGAUGGUGAGGUAAUGGCUCACCAUGGCGACGACGGGUAGCCGGCCUGAGAGGGUGACCGGCCACACUGGGACUGAGACACGGCCCAGACUCCUACGGGAGGCAGCAGUGGGGAAUAUUGCACAAUGGGCGCAAGCCUGAUGCAGCAACGCCGCGUGAGGGAUGACGGCCUUCGGGUUGUAAACCUCUUUUAGUAGGGAAGAAGCGAAAGUGACGGUACCUGCAGAAAAAGCACCGGCUAACUACGUGCCAGCAGCCGCGGUAAUACGUAGGGUGCAAGCGUUGUCCGGAAUUAUUGGGCGUAAAGAGCUCGUAGGCGGCUUGUCGCGUCUGCUGUGAAAUCCCGGGGCUCAACCCCGGGCCUGCAGUGGGUACGGGCAAGCUAGAGUGCGGUAGGGGAGAUUGGAAUUCCUGGUGUAGCGGUGGAAUGCGCAGAUAUCAGGAGGAACACCGAUGGCGAAGGCAGAUCUCUGGGCCGCUACUGACGCUGAGGAGCGAAAGCAUGGGGAGCGAACAGGAUUAGAUACCCUGGUAGUCCAUGCCGUAAACGUUGGGAACUAGAUGUAGGGCCUGUUCCACGGGUUCUGUGUCGUAGCUAACGCAUUAAGUUCCCCGCCUGGGGAGUACGGCCGCAAGGCUAAAACUCAAAGGAAUUGACGGGGGCCCGCACAAGCGGCGGAGCAUGCGGAUUAAUUCGAUGCAACGCGAAGAACCUUACCAAGGCUUGACAUAGCCGAGAACGCUGUAGAGAUACAGAACUCUUUGGACACUCGGUUACA